This 279-nucleotide ribosomal RNA is filed under the name uncultured bacterium. RNAcentral's name for it is "partial 16S ribosomal RNA". It matches the Rfam family "Bacterial small subunit ribosomal RNA", at positions 506 to 784 of the family's 1533-position model. The record is from RNAcentral.
UGCCAGCAGCCGCGGUAAUACAGAGAUGGCAACCGUUGUUCGGAAUCACUGGGCAUAAAGAGCACGUAGGCGGAAGCGUAAGUCGGGUGUGAAAUCCCUCGGCCCAACCGAGGAACUGCGCCCGAAACUGUGCUUCUUGAGGGCAGGAGGGGGACGUGGAAUUCCUGGUGGAGCGGUGAAAUGCGUUGAUAUCAGGAGGAACACCGGCGGCGAAGGCGACGUCCUGGCCUGCUUCUGACGCUGAGGUGCGAAAGCCAGGGGAGCAAACGGGAUUAGAUA